RNAcentral lists this transfer RNA (75 nucleotides) under Furcifer oustaleti (Oustalet's chamelion). RNAcentral describes it as "tRNA-Leu specifying UUR codons". It matches the Rfam family "tRNA". From Rfam's summary of the family: Transfer RNA (tRNA) molecules are approximately 80 nucleotides in length. Their secondary structure includes four short double-helical elements and three loops (D, anti-codon, and T loops). Further hydrogen bonds mediate the characteristic L-shaped molecular structure. tRNAs have two regions of fundamental functional importance: the anti-codon, which is responsible for specific mRNA codon recognition, and the 3' end, to which the tRNAs corresponding amino acid is attached (by aminoacyl-tRNA synthetases). tRNAs cope with the degeneracy of the genetic code in two manners: having more than one tRNA (with a specific anti-codon) for a particular amino acid; and 'wobble' base-pairing, i.e. permitting non-standard base-pairing at the 3rd anti-codon position. The record is from RNAcentral. Lineage: Eukaryota; Metazoa; Chordata; Lepidosauria; Squamata; Chamaeleonidae.
AUUAGGGUGGCAUAGCCAGGUUUAUUGCUUAGGGCCUAAAACCCUCUAUCAGAAGUUCAACUCUUCUCCCUAACA